GAUGAACGCUAGCUACAGGCUUAACACAUGCAAGUCGAGGGGCAGCAUUUCGCUAGCAAUAGUGAAGAUGGCGACCGGCGCACGGGUGAGUAACACGUAUCCAACCUGCCGAUAACUCGGGGAUAGCCUUUCGAAAGAAAGAUUAAUAUCCGAUGGCAUAUUAAGAUCGCAUGGUUUUACUAUUAAAGAAUUUCGGUUAUCGAUGGGGAUGCGUUCCAUUAGUUUGUUGGCGGGGUAACGGCCCACCAAGACUACGAUGGAUAGGGGUUCUGAGAGGAAGGUCCCCCACAUUGGAACUGAGACACGGUCCAAACUCCUACGGGAGGCAGCAGUGAGGAAUAUUGGUCAAUGGGCGAGAGCCUGAACCAGCCAAGUAGCGUGAGGGAUGAAGGCUCUAUGGGUCGUAAACCUCUUUUAUAUGGGAAUAAAGUUUUCCACGUGUGGAAUUUUGUAUGUACCAUAUGAAUAAGGAUCGGCUAACUCCGUGCCAGCAGCCGCGGUAAUACGGAGGAUCCGAGCGUUAUCCGGAUUUAUUGGGUUUAAAGGGAGCGUAGGUGGAUUGUUAAGUCAGUUGUGAAAGUUUGCGGCUCAACCGUAAAAUUGCAGUUGAAACUGGCAGUCUUGAGUACAGUAGAGGUGGGCGGAAUUCGUGGUGUAGCGGUGAAAUGCUUAGAUAUCACGAAGAACUCCGAUUGCGAAGGCAGCUCACUAGACUGCAACUGACACUGAGGCUCGAAAGUGUGGGUAUCAAACAGGAUUAGAUACCCUGGUAGUCCACACAGUAAACGAUGAAUACUCGCUGUUUGCGAUAUACAGCAAGCGGCCAAGCGAAAGCAUUAAGUAUUCCACCCUGGGGAGUACGCCGGCAACGGUGAAACUCAAAGGAAUUGACGGGGGCCCGCACAAGCGGAGGAACAUGUGGUUUAAUUCGAUGAUACGCGAGGAACCUUACCCGGGCUUAAAUUGCAAAUGAAUAAUCUGGAAACAGGUUAGCCGCAAGGCAUUUGUGAAGGUGCUGCAUGGUUGUCGUCAGCUCGUGCCGUGAGGUGUCGGCUUAAGUGCCAUAACGAGCGCAACCCUUAUCUUUAGUUACUAACAGGUCAUGCUGAGGACUCUAGAGAGACUGCCGUCGUAAGAUGUGAGGAAGGUGGGGAUGACGUCAAAUCAGCACGGCCCUUACGUCCGGGGCUACACACGUGUUACAAUGGGGGGUACAGAAGGCAGCUACCUGGCGACAGGAUGCUAAUCCCAAAAACCUCUCUCAGUUCGGAUCGAAGUCUGCAACCCGACUUCGUGAAGCUGGAUUCGCUAGUAAUCGCGCAUCAGCCAUGGCGCGGUGAAUACGUUCCCGGGCCUUGUACACACCGCCCGUCAAGCCAUGAAAGCCGGGGGUACCUGAAGUACGUAACCGCAAGGAGCGUCCUAGGGUAAAACUGGUAAUUGGGGCUAAGUCAUAACA
Molecule: ribosomal RNA, 1459 nt
Filed under: uncultured organism
Description: SSU rRNA
Rfam family: Bacterial small subunit ribosomal RNA
Source: RNAcentral